CCUACGGGAGGCAGCAGUAGGGAAUGUUCGUCAAUGGGCGCAAGCCUGAACGAGCGAUGCCGCGUGAGUGAAGAAGGCCUUCGGGUCGUAAAGCUCUGUUGCGGGGGAAAAAGGCAGCAUCAGGAAAUGGGUGCUGACUGAUGGUGCCCCGCCAGAAAGUCCCGGCCACCUACGUGCAAGAAGCCGCGGAAAAACGUAGGUGGCGGGCGUUAGCGGGAUUGUUUGGGCGAAAAGGGUGGGCAGGGGGUCCUGCAAGUCUGGAGUGAAACGCAUGAGCUCAACUCAUGCAUGGCUUGGGAAACUGGAGGACUGGAGAGCAGGAGAGGGCGGUGGAACUCCAUGUGUAGCGGUAAAAUGCGUAGAUAUAUGGAAGAACACCAGUGGCGAAGGCGGCCGCCUGGCCUGUUGCUGACGCUGAGGCACGAAAGCGUGGGGAGCAAAUAGGAUUAGAUACCCGAGUAGUC
This 464-nucleotide ribosomal RNA is filed under the name uncultured bacterium. Its description in RNAcentral is "partial 16S ribosomal RNA". It matches the Rfam family "Bacterial small subunit ribosomal RNA", at positions 338 to 795 of the family's 1533-position model. The record is from RNAcentral.